This 2971-nucleotide unclassified non-coding RNA is filed under the name Centruroides sculpturatus (bark scorpion). RNAcentral describes it as "uncharacterized LOC111638698, transcript variant X1". The record is from RNAcentral. Lineage: Eukaryota; Metazoa; Arthropoda; Arachnida; Scorpiones; Buthidae.
UUAUUUUCGUUUCGUUUAGUCCAACUCUCGGAGACGACAUCGGCCGACUCGGACUUUGCAUAUUCGCGUUUAAAUCUGCCAUCGCUUGUGUUUUUUUGUUUGAAUUACCAUCCGAAACGCACCUCUUUCGACUUUUAAACCAGCCGCCAUAUUGGAAAGCGACCGAAGCGCCGAAAAAAUUAAGUAUUUGUUCAUUGGUUUAUUUUCGUAAUUAAUUAAUUUAGAUUAUAUUUUAUAAACACGGUCAAAGAAUAAGGAUUAUUUGCAAAUAUCUUAUUUAUAGAAAUUCAAUUAAAACUUAGUUAAUACUAACUCUAAAUACGAAUUGCGUAUCGUAAUUUUAACUAAAAUAUACACUCGAAACCGGAUGGACCGAAGGAUACACGGAGACCGCAUUCUGAAGCAUGACACGUUCCUUCGACACAUCCGGGACGUCAAAAAUUUCGCCCUUUCACCUCCGACUUCUCCAUUGAAUCUACGUAUUAGUUACAACGCUUUUCAAUGGCUUACUUUGCGAGAAUUAAAUUGUCUGCAGCUGUGCGACUUAAAACACAAUCUAAUACACUUAACAGUUAUCUAUACAGGCUGGACACAAAGAAUUCUUUUCCUUAAGCUGUUUGUCUCUUUCCACAACGCGGUCUUUUCCGAGUGCAGUCCAUCUUCCACACUUACGUAACCCUUUGCAAAUGCUUUGUGCCACUUAAACGUUCGUGUCCCGGCUGCGGGCACGUCUUGUGUUUUCGUCGACUCUCGUACGGAAUUUCUUCGCACGAAACUCUCUUAAAUGCCAUCGUUGCGGUUAGGUGACGCACGUUAGGGUAAAUUGCUCUAGAACGAAACACUCGUUACGACUUGGGCUCGAGAUCGAGUACGAGUGCCUUUUGCGCAUGGCUACGUGCGGCGUGUCUUUACUUUUCUGUCGUACAAAUACAAAUUACACGUAAGAGUUUAUUCGUUCCGGGUCGGUCGUCUCUACUGCAAAUGCAAUUCGAACGUUCUAGCAAUUUCCGGUAGGAUCUAACGCGAGCUCUGUCAAUGAAGAGCUGGCGGUUUUGGCGUUGGCUGCGGCCCAAGAAGAUGAAGAAGUGUGAAGGGCGUUCUCCUUCCGCAAUCGAUGAAGAGAGGGUCUUUUCCCCCUUUGAGCGGGGAGAGGAACUCUCUUCCAUCGAUUGCGGAAGGGGUUCUUCCUUCACGGGAUCGCCUUCGGGAAUAGCGGAUGUCGACAGCAUUCUCUGUUCCGCGUUGAACGGAGAGGAGACAUUUCGCCAUUCGGACGUGUUCCGAAAGGUGAAAUGUCUCCAUGUUGACGACAUCAUCUUUGACGCACUGGGAGGGGAGGAAUGUUUCGAUCAUUCCUCCCUUUUCCAACGAGUGGGAUCCUCUCGUUCGGUGUGGGCAAAGAUGGAAAGGAAAAAGCGUCGCUUCGUAAGAGAAGUGAACGACUUUUUCCUUUGCUAUUUCUGAAGGAUAUUACUAACCUAGGAUAAGAAGGCAAGAGGUUUUUUUCGUUUGUUUUUUCCUCUUGUCAUACUAACAACAUUUAAAUUUAAGGUUUUAGUUUCAAUUUACUAACGUAGGAUAAGAAGGCAAGAGGUUUUUUUUUUUUUUUCCUCUUGUCAUACUAACAUUCAAACUAAAACCUUAAAUUUAAUUUACUAAUCUAGAUGUAAGUAGACAAGGUGUUUUUAAUUUUUUCCCCUUGUCCUAUUCACAUUAGUUUAGUAAUUCACAUCCACGCACAUAAACAACAUUCCUCACGCUGAAACACACAGUUCAAACGACACAUUCGUCGCAUCCAACCACCAAUGAUUCCAUUCAUGUGCAUUAUUAACAACACCGCUUCACAACACGAACACGCUUCCCAAAAUCCAACCUCUGGGUCCACAUCCUGGGAAGCGGUAACGUCGGUCGCAAUGGCCUAUGGCCAAAGAGGCUCUGGUAACAAUUUACUUUUGAUAUUAAAAUCUGAAUUUGAAUUGUUAUAACAAUCAUUUACUUGUAUCCAAAUAUUUUUUUUUUACUGAUUAUACAUACUCGUAUAUAUACACAUACACAUACAGUGGAACCUGCCAAUGUGACCAUGUAGGUGACACGACCACCUUCCUAUAGUGACCAGUUUUAUUUGGCCUGAAAUUUACUCGGACUUAAUAUUUUAAUCGUUAUUGACAUUUACAAUAUUUUAAAAAGUUAUUUCUUUCUUCAAAAUUAAGCCUUUUGCCAUUUUAUUAUAAUAAUGAAAUCUCAUGAUACAGAUGGUGCCAUACAAUGUCAACUUUCUGUUAGAGUCCUAGUGUUUUUCGCUGGGAAAGUUACACAACCCGUUGCUGGAUUUUGUUUUUUUUUACUGAUCGUGACGACAAAAACAUUCGAAAUAAAGUCUGUUUACAUUUAUACGUUUGAAUCUUCUUUUACACUGUGAUAAAUAAAGGCAUUCUGGUAUUCGCCAUCAUCCCAAAACUAUGAAUUUGAUAAAAACUUUGUCCUUUAUCAUUAUAUAGACGUUAGUAGUGCCUUUGAUAUCGUCUUACCAAAUAUUUUUCUUGACUGGCCUCAUGAAUAUAAUAUCGAUCAGCGAUUCAUUCGUGGUUCAAUGAUUUCUUUUUGAUACGAAAAUGUAAAAUUAAACUAGGCGAUUAUGAAUUUCUUAACAAUUUCUUUGUGUUCAACAAGGUUCUAUUCUCAGUGUCCUUUCUUCUGUUCAUUAUAUAUCAACAGCCUUCUUUGUCAUCUUAAUUAAAUUCCAUGUAGUAGUUUAUAUUGACCAGUUUAAGUUGAUAUAUUCCAAUCCAAAGAUCCUACAAUCUGAUAUUUAUUUGCUGAAAAAUCUAUUUGAAUCUCCUAAUCUUAGGAUUAAUACCAAAAAAACUACAGUUUUGUGUAUAGAAAAAGCAUAUGUCUGUACAUCAACUUGUGUAUUAAUUUACUAUAAUUUUUUACAAUUAAUUAAAAAAUUUCCAUAAUAUUUUAUCUU